RNAcentral lists this ribosomal RNA (495 nucleotides) under uncultured bacterium. Its description in RNAcentral is "bacterial SSU rRNA". It matches the Rfam family "Bacterial small subunit ribosomal RNA", at positions 899 to 1397 of the family's 1533-position model. The record is from RNAcentral.
ACUCAAAUGAAUAGACGGGGGCCCGCACAAGCAGUGGAGUAUGUGGUUUAAUUCGAUGCAACGCGAAGAACCUUACCGGGAUUUGACAUCCUGCUAACGAAGUAGAGAUACAUCAGGUGCCCUUCGGGGAAAGCAGAGACAGGUGGUGCAUGGUUGUCGUCAGCUCGUGUCGUGAGAUGUUGGGUUAAGUCCCGCAACGAGCGCAACCCUUAUGAUUAGUUGCUACGCAAGAGCACUCUAAUCAGACUGCCGUUGAUAAAACGGAGGAAGGUGGGGAUGAUGUCAAAUCAUCAUGCCCUUUAUGUCCCGGGCUACACACGUACUACAAUGGCGAUAAACAAAGGGGCGCGAAACCGCGAGGUGGAGCAAAUCCCAAAAAAUCGCCCCAGUUCAGAUUGCAGGCUGCAACUCGCCUGCAUGAAGUCGGAAUUGCUAGUAAUCGUAGAUCAGCAUGCUACGGUGAAUACGUUCCCGGGCCUUGUACACACCGCCCGU